AGUGAACGCUGGCGGUAGGCCUAACACAUGCAAGUCGAACGGCAGCACAGAGGAGCUUGCUCCUUGGGUGGCGAGUGGCGGACGGGGUGAGGAAUACAUCGGAAUCUACUCUGUCGUGGGGGAUAACGUAGGGAAACUUACGCUAAUACCGCAUACGACCUACGGGUGAAAGCAGGGGACCUUCGUGCCUUGCGCGAUUGAAUGAGCCGAUGUCGGAUUAGCUAGUUGGCGGGGUAAAGGCCCACCAAGGCGACGAUCCGUAGCUGGUCUGAGAGGAUGAUCAGCCACACUGGAACUGAGACACGGUCCAGACUCCUACGGGAGGCAGCAGUGGGGAAUAUUGGACAAUGGGCGCAAGCCUGAUCCAGCCAUACCGCGUGGGUGAAGAAGGCCUUCGGGUUGUAAAGCCCUUUUGUUGGGAAAGAAAUCCAGCUGGCUAAUACCCGGUUGGGAUGACGGUACCCAAAGAAUAAGCACCGGCUAACUUCGUGCCAGCCGCCGCGGUAA
This 507-nucleotide ribosomal RNA is filed under the name uncultured bacterium. RNAcentral describes it as "partial 16S ribosomal RNA". It matches the Rfam family "Bacterial small subunit ribosomal RNA", at positions 29 to 523 of the family's 1533-position model. The record is from RNAcentral.